GUGUGCCAGAGGAGUGCUGGAGCUCCCAGCUUCCCUUUCUAGAUGAAAUUGCUGAUGCUGUAGGGAUCUUUUCAGCAAAGACCUUGGCAAAAUAAAUAGAGUUAAGGAAAGAUCCAAGGCAAGAUUUGAACUCAAGAUUUUCCUGAUUCCAAUUCCAAUCCUCUGUUUUACCUACCUGCAGGUAUCCACGGGAGAGGGUUAAAAGAGGACACCAAGGGUUAUUUGGAAAUGCAUAGGAUUUAACCAUGUCAGAGAUUCAAAUCUCUGUAAAAUUCUAGAACACUGAACUUAGACUUCAUGAACUGAAGGGAUGGCUGCUAUUAGACAGAAAUAGGAAAACAAGUUAUUACCAGGCCACUCUGGGAAGGCCUUCUGCUCCAUGAGAUCUUCCAGAAGGUACAUCUGACUUUGCAGAACUCAGGAUCACUUUCACACCACAAGGAGAUUCUGAGGUUUUAGAAAUGCAAUUGUGAUAUUAUUGUAAGAGACUUUAUCAGCUGUCCUAAUGAAAUUCAAGUAUUUCCCUAAUAUGCUCAUUUAGUAACCAUGAUUAAAAAAGAGAAAAAGAAGAAAAAAAAAGAAUUUCCAUGGUGUGCUAAAGCUCUUUUAUUACUUUUCCUUUUUUCCUUCUCAUCAGAAUCAUUUUUGUUUGCCUUGUCAUAAUUUUAUUUUUCUAUCCUUCUGGAGUACACCUGUAUCCUAUUGCUUUUUGUCUUUCUUGUACACACCUCCCUUCCUCCCAAUCCCUUUCCCUUUCUUCUACUAGAUUCCUUUUUUUCUCUGGAUUCCUUGAAAUUUUUUGCCCUGAAUUCUUAGAUAUACAUCAGCCUCUACUAUUGUAACUAUCCCUUUCUUUUUCAAUUACAAAGUUUAAAAAGGCUGACCAUUGUCUUCUCAGAUUUCUGUCAUUUCCAUUUUACCAAACAAUUUCUCCUUAUUAAUUAGAAUUGGGUCCAGAUUUUCUGUUCUCC
Molecule: long non-coding RNA, 971 nt
Organism: Antechinus flavipes (yellow-footed antechinus)
Lineage: Eukaryota; Metazoa; Chordata; Mammalia; Dasyuromorphia; Dasyuridae
Exons: 5
Source: RefSeq, a predicted model, not a curated record